RNAcentral lists this ribosomal RNA (526 nucleotides) under uncultured bacterium. RNAcentral describes it as "bacterial LSU rRNA". It matches the Rfam family "Bacterial large subunit ribosomal RNA", at positions 126 to 616 of the family's 2925-position model. The record is from RNAcentral.
ACCAACCGUUGCGAACCAACGGUGUCCUCUUACUGAACACAUAGGUUUGAGGAUGGGAACCUGGGGAACUGAAACAUCUAAGUACCCAGAGGAAAAGAAUUAUUCCCCCAGUAGUGGCGAGCGAACGGGGAACAGCCCAAACCGUCUCUGCUUGCAGAGACGGGGUUGUAGGACCGGCAAUACGGAAGUUACAAAAUGAUCAGUUAGCGGAAAGGUGUGGGAAAGCCUGCCAAAGAGGGUAACAGCCCCGUAUGCGAAAACUGAUUGUCUUCCGCCGUGUUCCUGAGUACUGCCGGGCACGCUAAUCCGGCAGGAAUCUAGGGAGUCCACUCUCUAAGGCUAAAUACACUUGGCGACCGAUAGUGAACUAGUACCGUGAGGGAAAGGUGAAAAGUCCCCCUGUUAGGGGAGUGAAAUAGAACCUGAAACCAUAAGCUUACAAGCAGUUGGAGGGCUAACGGCAAGUUGAGCCCCCUAGAAAUAGGGGCGUUCCUUGCUAUGCCUGACAGCGUGCCUCUUGGAGAAU